UACGAAGGGGGCUAGCGUUGCUCGGAUUUACUGGGCGUAAAGGGCGCGUAGGCGGAUAGUUUAGUCAGAGGUGAAAGCCCAGGGCUCAACCCUGGAACUGCCUUUGAUACUGGCUAUCUUGAGUUCGGGAGAGGUGAGUGGAAUGCCGAGUGUAGAGGUGAAAUUCGUAGAUAUUCGGCGGAACACCAGUGGCGAAGGCGACUCACUGGCCCGAUACUGACGCUGAGGCGCGAAAGCGUGGGGAGCAAACAGG
This 253-nucleotide ribosomal RNA is filed under the name uncultured bacterium. Its description in RNAcentral is "partial 16S ribosomal RNA". It matches the Rfam family "Bacterial small subunit ribosomal RNA", at positions 524 to 776 of the family's 1533-position model. The record is from RNAcentral.